This 2508-nucleotide long non-coding RNA is filed under the name Olea europaea (common olive). RNAcentral describes it as "long non-coding RNA (OEUR_LNC006599)". Lineage: Eukaryota; Viridiplantae; Streptophyta; Magnoliopsida; Lamiales; Oleaceae. The record is from RNAcentral.
AAGACGUGAAAUACAAGAAUUCCGAAGUUGAAGCAUCUUGGCCAUUGGGAUGUGCCAUUGAUGUUACGUCAUCUUUGACAUCGAAGGGAUUAAUUGAGAAAAUAUGAGUCCAUUUCUGAUAAGAUAAUUAUCUGUGUUAUGGACAAGUACUUGUCUUAAUAAUAAUGAUUUCAAAUUUGCACGAACGUUACUCUUCCUUUUCUUUUACUAAGCACGUUACUUGUGUUGGAUCAAACAUAGUCUAAAAACAGCCAAACAAGCAAAAAAGGGAAAGUGAUGCUCUCUAAGUAGGGGUGGCAAUUGAGCCGAGCGAUUUGCCUACCACAAGUCCUAAGCUCAUGGCUCUUGAUAAACAGUGACAGAAACGAUCAUUUUUUUUUAAAAAGUGACCGUUUUGAUCACUGUUAUUACUUCAGUGACCGUCCUUUCGCAAACUGUCAUUGAAGUUGCAAAGUGGUUGUUUUGGCCAUUUUCCCCCCCUUUCAUUCUUUUUUUUUUUAAUCUAUAAAUAUCCCAAUUCAUUUUUCAAUUUUUUCACACAACAUUCCAAUGACAAUUCUCACAGUCGUCCUUCCACACAAUCUACUACUACAUUCCCCCCUCGGAGCAUAGUCCAAUGGUACAAAUGAUAGGAGUGAUGUUAUUUCACGCCUUGUUGGCAGUCGCAGUGUGGGGGUUCGAUUCCUGAGACAUGGAAUUAGACUCCUUGUAGACGCAGUGUAUAGGCAGCUUUUGUUCCCUAGCCUGUUUGGGUACAUCCCGCGAUUUAUCUCCUUCAUAAAGUUCUAGAAGCGGGGCGGUGGGAGACCUUAAAAGUUGGGGUUCAACCUUUUUUUUUUUUUUACUAUUGCAUUCAUUUCUAAUUUUUUACCUUCAAUAUCAUUAUAUCAAUUACAAUUAUAAAUUUACUACACUAAAAAUUUACUUAUACUUAUUAUACACUAACACUAUACAUUUCAUCACAAAUUCAAAAUUUAUAAAUGGAUUCACUCAUUUGUUGAGGACUUGUUUGAUGGUGUUUGAGACGAAUCGCUUAUGACACCACAAAAUCAAUUUCGAAAUGAAUUUGUCGGUCUCAACGAAGUACUAAUUCUCGAAAAUAUUCCUGAUUUCGAUGCUUAUAAAAGUAGUAAUCCAAUUGAUUUGGAUAACGUUGAUGUUGAAGCGGAACAUGAAUAAGAUAUUCCCGAUACAAGAGGAAAGCGAAAGGGAAAAAAGACAAAAUGUUGGGAUCACUUUAAAUUAAUUUCUCACUUUAAAUUAAUUCCAACAGGUAGUGUCAUCGAUGGAGUUGCAGAGUCCAAAACAAUAUGUAAAUACUAUCAACAAUGAUUGGCAUGGCAAAAAGGCAUUGGUAUCAUCCACCUAAACUGCCACUACAAAGCAUGUAAAGCCAAACAUGGGUGUUUUGCUGUCGGUCAAAUAUAACUGCAAUUUGGUAGUCUAAUUGUUGGUUCUAUUUUUACAACACUUUGCACGUUGAUGUAUUCAAAAAAGAAAGCUUGAACGAAAAUGGUGAAGUUUGUUGCAGGUGUUGAGUUGCCUCUAGCAAUAGCAAACGACCAAUAUCUCAUUUCCUACGUGAAAGAAUAUCUUCAAUCGAAGUACGUCGAGAUAAGUAGAAACACUCCUCGUUCCGAUACAAUAAAAUAUUUCCUUAAUACCAAAAACAAUUGAUUACCGAUUUGAAAAAAUAUAGGAGUGUUAUAUCUUUGACUUCGGAUAUAUGGGAAAUCAUUAAUAAAAGAUGUUAUAUAGUUGCAAAUACACACUACAUAGACCCAUUUUGGUGUAUGUAUAAAAAAAAUAAUUGAUUUUAAAAUUAUAGAGUUCCCUCACAACACUAACAAUAUAUAUAACGCUAUUAUGAGCAUUAUUAGAGAAUAUCACUGCGAGAGUAAAAUAUGUUUUUUUACGUUUGAUAACGCUAGUGAUAAUAAGUCAGUUGUCGAUAAAUUAUUCAGGGUUUUAUAGCACAAUUGAUGGUUAUUUAUUUCAUAUUUGUUGUAUGUAUCAUAUUUUUAAUUUAAUUAUAUAAGAUGAUUUAAAACAUAUUAAGAAUAAACUUUAAAGAAUUAUGGAUGCAGUAAUAUAUAUCACGAUUUCACCUAGUAGUAUUUGUGCAUGCAUCUUGUAUACAUUUACACAUUGCUUGUGGAUGGAUUUGGAUGAGUUGAAAUUUUUAUUAGUGCUGCCAAAGGACAUCAUUAAUUAUACGAAUACAACAUAAUUUGAUUUUGAAAUGUUUAUUAGACAGAUCUGAAUGCCUCUCAAAAUGUUGCAGUGGUUAAAGAAGUGAAGUACAAGAGUUCUGAAGUUGAAGCAUCUUGGCCAUUGGGAUGUGCCAUUGAUGUUACGUCAUCUUUGACAUCGAAGACAUUAUUUGAGAAAAUAUGAGUCAUUUGACAACAAUUGCAAGGACAAGUAUCUGUCUUAACAAUAAUGAUUUCAAAUUUGCAUGAACAUUACUCUUCAUUUUCUUUUACUAAGCACGUUACUUGUGCUGGA